Molecule: non-coding RNA, 74 nt
Organism: Ilex paraguariensis (yerba mate)
Lineage: Eukaryota; Viridiplantae; Streptophyta; Magnoliopsida; Aquifoliales; Aquifoliaceae
Source: the annotation of a GenBank genome assembly
GCCGGCUUAGCUCAGCCUGCAGAGCGCUCGGCUUUUUGACCACGUGGCCGUGGGGUCGAUUCCCACAGACGUUG